ACUCAAAUGAAUUGACGGGGGCCCGCACAAGCGGUGGAGCAUGUGGUUUAAUUCGAAGCAACGCGAAGAACCUUACCAAGGCUUGACAUAUACAGGAAGUUAGUAGAGAUAUUAACGCCUUCGGGUCUGUAUACAGGUGGUGCAUGGUUGUCGUCAGCUCGUGUCGUGAGAUGUUGGGUUAAGUCCCGCAACGAGCGCAACCCUUAUCUUUAGUAGCCAGCACUAACGGUGGGCACACUAGAGAGACUGCCGUGGAUAACACGGAGGAAGGUGGGGAUGACGUCAAAUCAUCAUGCCCCUUAUGUCUUGGGCUACACACGUGCUACAAUGGGAAGGAACAAAGUGAAGCAAAGCCGCGAGGUGGAGCAAAUCACAAAAAACUUUCCUCAGUUCGGAUUGUAGUCUGCAACUCGACUACAUGAAGUCGGAAUCGCUAGUAAUCGCGAAUCAGAAUGUCGCGGUGAAUACGUUCCCGGGCCUUGUACACACCGCCCGU
This 496-nucleotide ribosomal RNA is filed under the name uncultured bacterium. RNAcentral's name for it is "bacterial SSU rRNA". It matches the Rfam family "Bacterial small subunit ribosomal RNA", at positions 899 to 1397 of the family's 1533-position model. The record is from RNAcentral.